This 234-nucleotide unclassified non-coding RNA is filed under the name Lecanoromycetes sp. RNAcentral's name for it is "partial contains 5.8S ribosomal RNA, internal transcribed spacer 2, and large subunit ribosomal RNA". Lineage: Eukaryota; Fungi; Ascomycota; Lecanoromycetes. The record is from RNAcentral.
CGCAUAUUGCGCCCUUUGGCAUUCCGAAGGGCAUGCCUGUUCGAGCGUCAUUACACCUCUCAAGCCCAGGCUUGAUGUUGGGCCCCGUCGGGUGACGACGGGCCUAAAACGCAGUGAUGGCGGCACCUGUCACCGCACGCACACAGUUGUUGCGAAGCCGGGACGGGCGCGCCAGUCGACCUUUUCUUUUAAAAUGUUGACCUCGGAUCAGGUAGGGAUACCCGCUGAACUUAA